UGAAAACACAGCUGGUCUAACCUUAUUAUCAUUACAUUUCUAAUAAUUUAAAUUUUAUUAUUAUUCAUUUAAUAUAAAUAAUUAUGACAUCGUGGAUUAAAAUAACUCCAAGAUUUCAUCAAGGAUUAGAGGUGAUUUCUAAACUUGAUAUCGGUAAAUUUCGUUUACUAGUCAAUCAUAUUUGUCAAGAAUUGUUUGUAAAUAAUGAUGGAAAAAUAUUUAGCGAAGAUGAGGAAGAAAAACUAAUAACUUCCCUCAGUUUAGAGAAAGAAACGUUAAAUUUAUUAAUUGAUAUAAUAAUAUUAAUAUACUCGCAAGCAGCAUUUAGCGUUGUAAAGCCUGCAGUGAUGGAAAAUACUAUGAAAGAAUUAUUUCCCUUAUCAGAAGAAAGUAUUUCAGUAUUUGUCAAUGCUUGGAUUACUCAUGGAAAACGAAUUAUUGAUACUCUACGUCAAAAAUCCAUUUUUCCAAAUCAGGUUGAAAACAUCAAUUGGAGUUUUAAUAUCCAAGCCGCGUCUUCAUCAGCAUCUUUUGAUAAUAAAAUGAAUGUUUUAUUACAAUUAGCAAUGACGGGGAAAGAAAAAGAAAAAUUAACUGUCGAGAUGGAUAAAUCGAGUUUAUCUGAUUUAUUUGAAAAUCUAGAAAAAAUUCAAAACCAGUUGGAUGCUCUCAAAUAAAAAAAGUGGGCUUAAUGAUCCUUGGAACCAGUUCUGUCACUCAGGAUUGCGCCCUGAGCACGUCUUAUAUGGGCCAUGAAUCAAGGAUCAUUCGAGAAUUCUUCAUACAAGUAUUACAACAUUCCAAUGUUAAAUAUCUCAUGUUGCGGACAAUGCACUGAUGAGCAGAUGAAUUUUUGCUACGGAAUAUGAUGCACGCAGUGGACUUCAAUAUGGAAUGCAGCAGCUAGUGAUGAUCGAAUGUGUAUUUAUGAUUGGUGUGUUUAUCGAAUUUUGCUGAAAGCUGCGAAAAAUUGUG
Molecule: unclassified non-coding RNA, 975 nt
Filed under: Chelonus insularis
Lineage: Eukaryota; Metazoa; Arthropoda; Insecta; Hymenoptera; Braconidae
Description: cOMM domain-containing protein 10-like, transcript variant X3
Source: RNAcentral